Long non-coding RNA from Athalia rosae (coleseed sawfly), 1172 nucleotides. RefSeq lists it as uncharacterized. The record is from RefSeq and is a predicted model, not a curated record. NCBI's taxonomy places the organism in Eukaryota, Metazoa, Arthropoda, Insecta, Hymenoptera, Athaliidae. The transcript is spliced from 2 exons.
GACUCGCUUCAGUCCUUGAUAAACUUUUAAUCCGGCACCUACUCAGUUCCAUAGAAAUAACUCCGAUUCCCCGAUACAACCUACCUACAACACCCAUGCAACGACUUUGUUUGAAGUGGUACAUCGGUACAAGUAAUACAUAGUUCGGCUUUCCGCUGCACCACUUUCAUUUCGCGGGGUGAUCAUUAGUGCUCUACGUCGCGGUAGGUGUGUCUUUGAACUGAAGAUUUGUGAUAGAAUCUUUUUCAGACUAUACGGAUGCGAACAUUUAAUACCCGGAACCUGCGGAAUCCUAGUUGAGUGUUCUCCGCAAAACUCGUUUCAACUUCACAGCGAAUUAUGCUCACGCGUGACGAGUGCACACGUAUAUAGUUGUUGUGUAUUAUUCUCAUCGUUGUUAUCAUUAUUAUAAUAAUUAUUAUUAUUAUCACUGUUAUUUAUGAUGUGGGAAUUGCUCCGAUGCUGUACAAGAGGAUACGCCACGAAUGAGUGAACAAUUCAUUUCGACGGUUGAUUUUAGGAGCAAUCGGAAAUAGGACAUUGAAACGCGAUCGUUGAAAUCCAUUUGGUGCAAAUAUAGAUCCGGUUCGCGAUGCCGACAACGAGAGUGCGGAUAAGGUUGAUUUCGAAACUGUUAAUUUUCUUCAUCCUUCAUGCAUACGGUAACUGCGCGACUCGUGGUUUCAGCAGGGAUUUUAUCUACUUUCCCGAUCAAACCGAGUACAUCAGAGCUUCCGCAAGAUGUCCCAACGACCUUUUGUACUGGCCUGUUAACGGUCGGUGUUACAAAGAAGGUCAACAAGGGCCCUGCAAUAUUGGUCGCGUUCUGCAUUUCAACCAACGGGAAUACAGACCCUACUGUCAGGAGGAGCGAAGUCCUUCGACCUUCCCUCCUUGCCUACAGCAUAAUUGCUUCGAUAGACGAAUUCUCCGGCAACGGUAGGUGGCGGCAACGUUCGUAGCCGUAGUUGAAGACAAAAAAAAAAAAAAAAAAAUUCGAGCCUCGCUAUAAGACUUCGCAAUUGACGCGAGCGAAUGAAUUGUCACUUUUUAAUAACAAUUGAUGUUAUUCACGGCGCAACUUUUUUUCAUUUCUUCAUCGGCUAGGUAAACCUACAUGAAGAACGAAAUGAUAACGAAUAAGAGAAUCAAUAAAUAAAUGCAUACAGAGA